Molecule: long non-coding RNA, 2587 nt
Organism: Homo sapiens (human)
Lineage: Eukaryota; Metazoa; Chordata; Mammalia; Primates; Hominidae
Exons: 2
Source: RefSeq, a predicted model, not a curated record
AGUAGACUGAUUCAAACUUAAAGAGUUAUAACCAACCAAGAAACCAGUUGUUGUAUAUAUGAACCACAAAUGAAGUCUAUGGAAAACAUUUGCAAGUUUCUUUGCUUAGUAAGAAAGAAUUUGCACAACGGGAGAAUCAUAUCAAAUCUUAUAUAACUUCCCCCAAUUGUGUUACAUAAGAUUUAACUAUAGUUGACACUACCAUUUUAAACUAAUCAGUAGCAUAUUUAUAAUUACCUUCCCUAAAAAACUAUUAAUAAAACCAGGAGCACACUUACAAUUAAAAAAUCAAACACAACUGUAUCUUACACACAUGCAUACAGUACAGUGUUUAAAAGAAAAAAACAGAUUUUUUUUAUUAAUGGUCCACUUUCUUCAAAGAGGCCUCAGGGUAAUGGAUGUUCUUUCUAGAAUUCUUCAUCAGAAAAAUUUACCAAAUAAAUGUUAUAGCUUACAUAUCAUAGCAAACAAAAAUGCUAAGAAAAUGAGUUGAUUAAUUUCAAAAGUAACAAUAAUCUAGCUGAAGCAGUAAUGAACAAGUCACCUAAGAAACUUAAAACAUGUAAAAUUCAAAUGCCCAGAAACAUACAAACUGAUUAAAAUUAAAACUUUAUUUACUUAGGAUCAAACAUUUAAAACCAAAAUAAUCCUCAGAUUGAGAUUUCAUUUUCGAUUAUACUGUAAUUUCUUCCACUAUUCCCGUUCCCCCAAUAUUCCCAAAACUAAAAUUGUUUCUGUUUUGUAAACAUUCCACACAUCCAUAACAGAACAGGUAAAAAUAGGGUUAAAAAUGUAUUUGCAAAUAUGCAGUUCAAAUAAAUGCACUUCCCGUGAGAACACCACUAGGUGCUGAUCUUUACCACCGUAAAUAUAAACCUGAAUCCAGUAAUACUUUAAAACUGAAAUUAUAAUCAAGAACCACAAAUGAAAAUCAUUUUUACAGAAAAUUAAGUCCACAAUUUUUCAAAAAAUCGAAAAAACAGAGAAGAGCUUGAGGUCGGCCCAGGAGUACAACAUUAGAGUAAUGUUUUUCUUGAAAAUUGUGAGAAUUUAAGGUUAACACAAAGAAACCCCUCAAGAACGAGGAAAAUUAAAUCUAGAACCCAAAUGGCGUCCAACAAGAACAUUAGAUCUUGAAAAUGAAUAUUGCGCUUGCGCAGCCACCGCCCCGCCAGCUGCACAACUGCAGCUAGAGCCCGACCCCGCAAGAUCACGUGCUCCCAUGCAGCGCCGCCCGCAGCUCCGCAACCGCGCAGGCGCAGACACAACUCCCGCAGCCGCCAUAAUGCGGUCUUGACUCUUCAGAAAUACAAUAGUAAUUUAAGAAAAUGUGGUUUUAACAGCCCCUGGGAUUCACAUAUACCUUUUGGGGCGGAAGCUGAGGGAGGGGGAACCAAGUUCCUUCCUACAGAGCCGUCCCGCGCAGCCGUCCCCGACGUUGCCGCCUCAGCUUUUCGCGCGCUUCAGUCGCCGCGCCGCCGCUGCCACCGCCGCCGCCUCCGCAGAUUCAAAAACAAACCCGCUUCUCCCUUGCACGCGCCGGGGCCGUUAUGCAAAUUAAUAUGGGCGGGGCUCCGGGGGGUCGUGCUAUGUACCCCGCCCACUGUGCUAUCAGCCAAUAAGCUCAAGGACUAGCCAUUCCCCAUGCAAAUUCUGGUUUUUUAUUUGAAUGAGGGACAUUGGCCCCGCCUCCUGCGUGGAAAAGAGAAGGAAGCCCGAGGUGGUGGCGCUGCGUCUCUCAGUUGCAGUGUGAGGUGUGUUUUUUGAGUGGAUCUUCCUCAAUCAAUAAGUAGCACUUUGUGAGCGCCCUCUAUGAGGCUUAGAAAAGAAAGAAGGAAGGAGGUAUGAGACACCACACCUAGCCCUGAAGCUGCUCUUGGUUGGGGGUCAUCCCACACCUAAGAAAGAAAGAUGAUGGCUCUAAAGAAGAUGAAAAAGUCAUUGGUGUCAAUCAACUCUAGGCUCCAACUCAUUAUGAAAGGCAGAAAGUAGGCUGGGCACCGUGGCUCACGCCUGUAAUCCCAGCACUUUGGGAGGCCGAGGCAGGUGGAUCAUGAGGUCAAGAGAUCGAAACCAUCCUGGCCAAUGUGGUGAAACACCAUCUCCACUAAAAAUACAAAAAUAAGCUGGGCGGGGUGGUGCGCAACUGUAGUCUCAGCUACUUGGGAGGCUGAGGCAGGAGAAUGGCUUGAACCCGGGAGGUGGAGAUUGUAGUGAGUCGAGAUCGCGCCACUGCACUCCAGCCUGGCAACAGAGCGAGACUCCAUGUCAAAAACAAAAACAAAAACAAAGAAAGUGUAAAGUAUGUGCUGGGGUACAAGCAAACUCCAAAGGUGAUCAGACAAGGCAAAGUGAAAUUGAUUAUGCUCACCAACAACUGCCCCACUUUGAGGAAAUCCAAAAUAGGAUACUGUGCCAUGUUGGCCAAAAGUGGUGUUCAUUACUACAGUGGCAAUAAUAUUGAAUUGGACACAAUGUGCAGAAAAUACUGCAGAGUAUGUGCACACUGAUCCAGGUGAUUCUGAUAUCAUUAGAGGCAUGCCAAACAGAUUGGUGAAAAGUAAAUGAUGCAAAAUGUUUCUUUUAC